UGGAAAGUGCCUGACUACUUGCCUAUCCUGU
This 31-nucleotide non-coding RNA is filed under the name Mus musculus (house mouse). The record is from RNAcentral. Lineage: Eukaryota; Metazoa; Chordata; Mammalia; Rodentia; Muridae.